RNAcentral lists this long non-coding RNA (454 nucleotides) under Ananas comosus (pineapple). Its description in RNAcentral is "long non-coding RNA (ACOM_LNC038541)". The record is from RNAcentral. Lineage: Eukaryota; Viridiplantae; Streptophyta; Magnoliopsida; Poales; Bromeliaceae.
ACCUCAAAAUAGUGCAAUAAAUCUCUCUCAAUAAAAGAGUAAACUACAUUCAUAUAAGAGUGAGUCUCUCAAAAACUAAAAUAAUUGGGUUCUCCAUUAAAGCAAUUCUCGAGUGGGAAAGCUAUUUAUCCAACGAUCCCUUUACCUCGAUCAGAAGAAACAGGAAUAGGUAAAGUGGUCUUUGCAAGAAAAAGUCAACACAAAGGGCAUGAGAAGUACUAAAAACUAGCAGUCCUCAAUGGAUACUAUCAUCAACGAUAACGAUUUACCUGCUAGGUCUACCAGAGGCAAAGAAAUACUAAACUGCUAAAAGAAAGUGGACAAGUAAAACAACAGUAAGAAACUACUACUACUAUACCUCUAAACUAGAUGUCGAAUGAAUGCAUGCAUCAUGUAGGAUGAACAACAGCUACUAGUAUACUAAAUCAACCGACCGGCUCGAUGUAACAUAUCG